AGGAUCCUGCCUUGAGUUCCUGCCCUGGCUUCCUUCCAUGAUAGACUGUGAUAAUAGAUAUACAAAGAAAAGAGUCCACAUGGUGGUGUGAGCCAUUCCUGUACUACACACCUUCAUUUACAGUAAGUGCUGUGGGGUUGGCCUGAUGGCUCCGUCAGUAAAGUCAGAUGACCUGAGGAUCUCCAGGAGCCACAUCGUGGAAGAAGAGAACUGACUCCCACAAGUUUUCUGCUGACCUCUGCAGAUGAAAGGAGAGGAAAAGCUCAUGUCCACCACAAGGCUGAAGAACCUCAGAGCUGCCCAGACUCAAAGACUGCCUACGAGGGGCCAUCUCUCCCAACCAGAAGCAUGGGGCAGAUCCCUGGAGGGCAAGACCUGAAGAAGCCAUGUACAAGAUGCCUUUGAACUGGGAGAUGGCAGGGGCAGGGAGGCUAGAGGCAGGGAAGACUGAUCCAAUUUUGGGGCUUCCUGGAGAGUGCUGGGUUCUAAUCAGCAACAUCAGGAAGAGUCGGAACAAAGGGAGAUGAGAAGAUGCAGAGUCCCUCAUGCCCCUGGAGCAGUGAACCCGCUAGCUCGUCCUACAAAGACACUCUAGCUGUCCGCAAUCUUUACCCAGACAGACAGGAACAAGAAACGGUGGCUGAGCGCCUCAGCGACUCAACAGAUGAAGCUUCUGAGAGGACCCGGCACCAGACCUUCGCUUUGUUCCUUCCCACGCACUGUGCUGACCUCCACACCUCAUUUGUGACUGACCCCUGGGUAAGCUACAGAAACAACGGACAGAGAGACGCAUUCGACACGCCAAGUUUCUCAAUAUUUCUUUUCUCCUGAGGUCCCAAUCCCUCCCUUUUAUGAGCAGGUUAAAGGUUUAUUCCCCGUUCUUUUAAGUUAGUAGGUUAACGCCACCAGGCCAGCUCCCCAAAUAUGACGCAGCCCCCAAAAUGAAACACUUGCAUCUCUCUUGGACAACCAAAAAGAAGUCAGUAUUUAUUUAGUUAUUUUUUACUUUUUUGGAGAAUUUCACACAUGAAUACUGUAUAUAUAUAUAUAAUUCCCCCCCACCCCAGGCUUCAUCUCCUCUUGUGUCCCUCAUGCUGCUUGGCAGACAACCCCCACUUAAUGGAAAUCCUGAGCUGUGUGGUAGCCAGAGUCCACACAUCCACUCCAGCUUCCGCUUCUUCAGAAAUCUGGGCACUUGAGCAUCUGCAGAGAGAGGCAGCUUGAAAUACAUACACGUUGACUAAGUGGAUGGGUCACUCCAGCGCUGUUGGGCUGCCAUUCCAGAUGAUGAAGGUCUUUCCACAGGCCCGCCAGCCAGAAGCGACCAGGUAUAGGGCAAAGAAGCCAGGCAUGGGUGGAGGCAGCCUGGCCUAGGCCGGUCCUGCCCUUGUCGAUGCAAAGCAUGUGGUGAAGACCCUGUGAAAGCCAGACUUGAAGAUGUCUAGAGACACACUGUCCACCUGCAGCCAGCCCACAUCAGCCAUCUUACCCAGGCCUGCCCUGCCUCUGGGCUUCAGCACCUUCAUGAGGAAGCCCUGAACUAGUCCUUAGGAGUCUGCCACAGUGGGGUGGGGUGGGAUCCUACAGUGAAGGUGGCCAGCACCAUCCUGCUCUCUCCAUCAGGACGGCCCCGUUCCUGCCAGGCCAGCCUUUGUCCCUUCACAAGCCCUCUCUGUCCUUCCUUGACCAGUAUUAGUUGUGUGUUAGACCUCACCGUGGGCCGUGGGCAGAGCCUUCUCUACCCAAAGAGGCUUUUCCAGCUGGCUGCCUAGUCUUCUGUAAAGACGGUAAUAAAAUAAACCAACAAAUACAAACACGAGUAGACACAGGAAUAGGCGAGCAAAUAGAGGAGAAAGUGAAUGACCGGGUGAAGGGACUCCAUUACAGCCUUCCUGAGGGGCCUUUCUGGAGGCUUCUUCAUUCAACUCUGCCCCUUAGAGUGAUGUCAUCUCCAUAGCAACAGUGUUCUAUCAACAGAAGUGUCCAAGAGUUGGCAAUGAGGCCCUGGCAGCCCAGUCCUGUGCUUCCAGCUUUCUAGGACCCUUCAUAUCUGUAGGGAGGGCGGGCGACACAUGGAGGCACUCCCUCAAUUGGGACAGGUGGGACCACUAACUGUUGUCACCCACUGGAUAUUUUUCACUGAUUGGAGUCCCUGGCACAAUUUGGGGGCACACAGGAGGAGGAAAGCCCUCCUUUUCCUCAGAGCUUGCAAUCUCACCAGCCUAGAACAUGAGAGCUCAGGGACUCAGGAGAACAAUAGCACACACUGUUCAUUCCUUCACUCACUGUGCCGGGCCCUGUGUAAAGAACCAGGCACAUUCCUGCCUGCUUCCUGACAAGGCUGAUUGGUUAUGAUCCUAGGCGUUGAACCCAGGGCCUGCCCAGUGCUAGGCAAGCACUCUUCAGCUGAACUGUAUCCUCAGCCCUAAAUAAAGAGGGUUCCCCCCCAAAUGUUAAUAUUAGAGUAACAUAGCAAUCUGAAUCGUGUUCUAGACGAACAACACGGGAUAACUAGUUCUGUCUGAUAACGUCAACACACUUCUGAGGAGGUGACAGUGUGGCUAGUGGCCCUGGAGGUUAAGGAAGGAAGAAGGAAAAGUAACUCUAGGUGAUGGAAAAUGUAUGCGCAUGGUUACCCGUGAGUCAGUCAAUGAGCUGCAAACUAGAAAGAAACGAGUCCCCCAAAAUAAAACUGGGUGGGAUUCAGGAGGGACUUCAAAGUCUUCUUCAGGACUUGGACACUUUUCUCCUGUCGGUGAACACACCAACCUUCCAAAUCACCUGGAAAAUUAAUUUAAAAAUCCCCGUUCCCAGCCAUGUAUGAGGGUGGACAUCUUUAACCUCAGGACUUGGGAGGCAGAGCCAGGCAGAUCUCUGAGUUUGAGGACAGCCUGGUCUACAUUGUGAGUUCCAGGCCAGCCAGGACUGCAUAGAGAGACACUGUCUCAAGAAGAAGAAAAAAAUAGUAAAAAUCCUAGGGCAUACUCCACACCCCUGACUGAGGAUUUCUUGAGGGCAGAUCUGAGAUUUCAAUGCUCUUCUUAGUGGAUCUCUCAUUAAACCUCAAAGUUUGGAAACUGAAGUUUGUGGCGUCCAGGAGGUGGAGAGAUCUUGGAAGGUUCUGGGAGGAGUUGACACAUUGAUUGGCUAAGGAUUUACAGAGGGCGUCAAUAUGAAAAGCGGAGUGGUUUGUGUGGGGGCUUCUGCACAGCGUUGAGAAGUGAGAAGCUGAGAGAGACGUUGUAGGCAGGGAGUCUUUUUUGUCAUCCCACCCGUGUGUUGUGCUUUCUGAACCAUUUUAGAUACUGUGUUCUAGUCUGUUUUUGGCUGUUUCCUGAGGCGGGGUAAUUUGUAAUGAAUGGAAGUUCAUUUGGUUCAUGUUUCUGGAAGCCUGGUUCUUCCAUUUGUGUCCCGUAGUAGAAGACAGAGAACAAAGGCAGCUGAUGGGGGAAGUGGAUUUACUGUUGUAGCAUCCAGCAUCCAGCAUCCAGCACGAACCCACCCUACAGUCCCAACAUUAACCGGUUACAACUACCACACUAUCCUGAGUUCUUACAGACAUGAAGUGACCAUUAAGCAGACCUCACCUUCCAACAAAGCUAGAUUUUCUUCCCUUUUUUCCCCCCUGGUUUUGCUUUUUGUUUUGUUUUUUUGAGACAGGGUUUCUCUGUGUAGCCUUGAUUGUCCUGGAGCUCAUGCUAUAGACCAGGCUGGCCUAGAACUAUGUAGAGCUGCUUGCCUCUACCUCCUGAGUGCUGAGAUUAAAGUUGUGUGCCACCAUGCCCAUCUAAGCCAGACUUUGAUGUAAAGGGAAGAGAGGGAAAAUGUAUUUGUUCAUUAAUACAGUGAACUUAAUUGGGCAAUUUAAUCCUCCCUUGUGAAUGCCUAUGUUACCUAAAUUAAGGUAAAAUUUCUUUAAAAAAAUAUGGAAACACAUGAAAGACAUUGAAAUGAAUGAAUUUAAGCUCUUAGGAACUUAAUGGGGAGGCAAUUCUGUGCUUUGAUACUGGGGGUCUAUUUCUAUUUACAUUUCUUUUUAUAGUUGUUUUGAUUAAAUUUGCUUAUCUUAUGUGUGAGUGAGUGUGCAGGCACACAUGCAUGCAUGAGAGAGAGAGAGAGAGAAAGAGAGAGAGAGAGAGAGAGAAGAGAGAUGGGGGGAGAAGAGAGAGAGGAACCAGGGAACUUGGGCCACAGGAGACAGGAGUGGAGUAAUGUGUAGGUCUUGGAGAUCAAACUUGGGUCAUCAAUUCUUGGCAGCAAAUGUAUCUAUUCAAUGAGCCAUCUUUCUGGGAGCACAUGUGUGUGUUUUGAGACUGUAAGAAUGCUGCAGGCUUUGUUCCAACACUGAUGUAUUAGUUACUUUUCUCAUUUUGUGGAUAAAUACCUGACAGAAACAACUUGGGUGAAGAAGGAUAUUUUUGGACUCGCAGUUUGAGAAGGAUGCCGUCCAUCAUGGCAGGAGGCAAGGCGGAAGGAGCAUGAGGUGGCCGGUCACAUUGCAUCUGUAGACAGGAAGUAGGGAGGGAUGAAGGCUGGAGGUUACAGUUGUUUCAGAUUUUGCUCUAUUGUAUGUGUAUGAGUAUUCUGCCUGUGCGACACAGGCAUGCAGUACCCUCUGAGGCCAGCAGAAAGCAGACACCCUCUGGAACUGAAGUUAACAGGUCAUCCAGCAGAGCAGCCCAGUGCUCUUGACUACUGAGCCAUCUCUCCAGCCACAUGAUGUUUUAGCUUUGUCAACUUGACAGUCGGGACUCACUUGGGAAGAGAGCUUCAGUGAUCGACUAUCUGGAUCAGGUUGGCCUCUGGAUAUGUCUGUGGGGAUUGUCUUGAUUACGUCAACUGAUGUAAAAAGACUCAUCCAUGGUGGGCGGCACCACUCCCAGAAUAUGAGUUCUGGACUGGUCAAGAGUGGAGAAAGUGAGCUGAGCCGCAGGCUUGCACGCAGUCAUUCUCCCCACUUCCGACUGUGGCUAUAACCAGCCUGCUUCAGGGUUCUGCUGUCUCGAGUUUCUAGCAGUGAUGAAAUGCAACUUGGAAUCGUAAGCCAAAUAAACCGUUUUUCCUUUAUA
Non-coding RNA from Cricetulus griseus (Chinese hamster), 5069 nucleotides. The record is from RefSeq and is a predicted model, not a curated record. Lineage: Eukaryota; Metazoa; Chordata; Mammalia; Rodentia; Cricetidae.